RNAcentral lists this ribosomal RNA (465 nucleotides) under Citrobacter freundii. RNAcentral's name for it is "partial 23S ribosomal RNA". It matches the Rfam family "Bacterial large subunit ribosomal RNA", at positions 1284 to 1748 of the family's 2925-position model. The record is from RNAcentral. RNAcentral also lists the same sequence under 1 other name. Lineage: Bacteria; Pseudomonadati; Pseudomonadota; Gammaproteobacteria; Enterobacterales; Enterobacteriaceae.
AGAAGUGCGAAUGCUGACAUAAGUAACGAUAAUGCGGGUGAAAAACCCGCACGCCGGAAGACCAAGGGUUCCUGUCCAACGUUAAUCGGGGCAGGGUGAGUCGACCCCUAAGGCGAGGCCGAAAGGCGUAGUCGAUGGGAAACAGGUUAAUAUUCCUGUACUUGGUGUUACUGCGAAGGGGGGACGGAGAAGGCUAUGUUAGCCGGGCGACGGUUGUCCCGGUUUAAGCAUGUAGGCGGAGGUUCCAGGUAAAUCCGGUACCUUUUUAACGCUGAGGUGUGAUGACGAGGCACUACGGUGCUGAAGUAACAAAUGCCCUGCUUCCAGGAAAAGCCUCUAAGCAUCAGGUAACACGAAAUCGUACCCCAAACCGACACAGGUGGUCAGGUAGAGAAUACCAAGGCGCUUGAGAGAACUCGGGUGAAGGAACUAGGCAAAAUGGUGCCGUAACUUCGGGAGAAGGCA